Molecule: ribosomal RNA, 429 nt
Filed under: Chloroflexota bacterium
Lineage: Bacteria; Bacillati; Chloroflexota
Description: Chloroflexi bacterium partial 16S ribosomal RNA
Rfam family: Bacterial small subunit ribosomal RNA
Source: RNAcentral
UGGGGAAUAUUGCACAAUGGGCGCAAGCCUGAUGCAGCCAUGCCGCGUGUAUGAAGAAGGCCUUUGGGUUGUAAAGUACUUUCAGCGGGGAGGAAGGGAGUAAAGUUAAUACUUUUGCUCAUUGACGUUACCCGCAGAAGAAGCACCGGCUAACUCCGUGCCAGCAGCCGCGGUAAUACGGAGGGUGCAAGCGUUAAUCGGAAUUACUGGGCGUAAAGCGUACGCAGGCGGUUUGUUAAGUCAGAUGUGAAAUCCCCGGGCUCAACCUGGGAACUGCAUCGGAUACUGGCAAGCUUGAGUCUCGUAGAGGGGGGUAGAAUUCCAGGUGUAGCGGUGAAAUGCGUAGAGAUCUGGAGGAAUACCGGUGGCGAAGGCGGCCCCCUGGACGAAGACUGACUCUCAGGUGCGAAAGCGUGGGGAGCAAACAGG